UAGAGUUUGAUCAUGGCUCAGAUUGAACGCCGGCGGCAGGCCUAACACAUGCAAGUCGAGCGGAAACGACAAUAUUGAUUCUUCGGAUGAUUUGUUGGGCGUCGAGCGGCGGACGGGUGAGUAAUGCCUGGGAAAUUGCCCUGAUGUGGGGGAUAACCAUUGGAAACGAUGGCUAAUACCGCAUAAUGCCUUCGGGCCAGAGAGGGGGACCUUCGGGCCUCUCGCGUCAGGAUAUGCCCAGGUGGGAUUAGCUAGUUGGUGAGGUAAUGGCUCACCAAGGCGACGAUCCCUAGCUGGUCUGAGAGGAUGAUCAGCCACACUGGAACUGAGACACGGUCCAGACUCCUACGGGAGGCAGCAGUGGGGAAUAUUGCACAAUGGGCGCAAGCCUGAUGCAGCCAUGCCGCGUGUAUGAAGAAGGCCUUCGGGUUGUAAAGUACUUUCAGUCGUGAGGAAGGUUCAUGCGUUAAUAGCGUAUGGAUUUGACGUUAGCGACAGAAGAAGCACCGGCUAACUCCGUGCCAGCAGCCGCGGUAAUACGGAGGGUGCGAGCGUUAAUCGGAAUUACUGGGCGUAAAGCGCAUGCAGGUGGUUCGUUAAGUCAGGUGUGAAAGCCCGAGGCUCAACCUCGGAACUGCAUUUGAAACUGGCGGACUAGAGUACUGUAGAGGGGGGUAGAAUUUCA
This 685-nucleotide ribosomal RNA is filed under the name uncultured Vibrionaceae bacterium. Its description in RNAcentral is "bacterial SSU rRNA". It matches the Rfam family "Bacterial small subunit ribosomal RNA", at positions 1 to 671 of the family's 1533-position model. The record is from RNAcentral. Lineage: Bacteria; Pseudomonadati; Pseudomonadota; Gammaproteobacteria; Vibrionales; Vibrionaceae.